GUUUUUAUUGGGUGGUUUGUAUCAAAUCUUCUCAGCUUUCAUCACCGACCCUAAAAACUUGGGUUCGUCAUCAGCAAGGUAAUUAGGUGAGCGGAUUCUGGAUUUUGACCGAUGAUCUACCCAUAAAAGAAAGUGAGAAAGAGAGAAAAGUCAGCUUCUUCGUCGCUGGACUGGUCUGAGGCAGACGAAGAAUAGGGGGCCACCUAAAAACUUGGACGAUCGAGUUCAAUGUGUAGAACCACUGAAUAUAUACAUGGCUCCUGAAAUUCUGCUGUUUAAAGGCCACAACAAAGAUGCAGAUUGGUGGAGCAUUGGUAUACUUUUGUAUGAGAUGCUAAGUGGUCAGUUUAAUUCUCUCUGAUUUCAAGGGACUGUGUUUCAAUUAAGUUGGCCUGUUUACUUAUCAAGUUUGAGCCACAUUCGGUUUUUUAGUCAAGGAAAGCAUCA
RNAcentral lists this long non-coding RNA (447 nucleotides) under Rosa chinensis. Its description in RNAcentral is "sRNA RchiOBHm_Chr4g0411621". The record is from RNAcentral. Lineage: Eukaryota; Viridiplantae; Streptophyta; Magnoliopsida; Rosales; Rosaceae.